CCCCUCUCAGGGUCGCACCUGGAGAGUUCCAGUACUCUACCAGUCUCGGCUACGGGAGGGAGAGUCAAGCAGAGGCAUAUCCAUUCCAUUCCUAGCUUGGACAGUUGCUAGUGAGUAGAAGGCAAUCUGCUAUAAGU
Molecule: small nucleolar RNA, 137 nt
Filed under: Ornithorhynchus anatinus (platypus)
Lineage: Eukaryota; Metazoa; Chordata; Mammalia; Monotremata; Ornithorhynchidae
Source: RNAcentral